RNAcentral lists this transfer RNA (73 nucleotides) under Candidatus Aenigmatarchaeota archaeon. Its description in RNAcentral is "tRNA-Pro". It matches the Rfam family "tRNA". Rfam says of the family: Transfer RNA (tRNA) molecules are approximately 80 nucleotides in length. Their secondary structure includes four short double-helical elements and three loops (D, anti-codon, and T loops). The record is from RNAcentral. Lineage: Archaea; Nanobdellati; Candidatus Aenigmatarchaeota.
GGGCUCAUAGUCUAGUUUGGUAGGAUCCGAGCUUUGGGAGCUUGAGGCGAGAGUUCAAAUCUCUCUGAGCCCA